This 537-nucleotide ribosomal RNA is filed under the name Didymella rosea. Its description in RNAcentral is "eukaryotic LSU rRNA". The stretch from base 187 to 340 matches the Rfam family "5.8S ribosomal RNA". Lineage: Eukaryota; Fungi; Ascomycota; Dothideomycetes; Pleosporales; Didymellaceae. The record is from RNAcentral.
AAGUCGUAACAAGGUUUCCGUAGGUGAACCUGCGGAAGGAUCAUUACCUAGAGUUGCGGGCUUUGCCUGCCAUCUCUUACCCAUGUCUUUUGAGUACCUUACGUUUCCUCGGCGGGUCCGCCCGCCGACUGGACAAUUUAAACCACUUGCAGUUGCAAUCAGCGUCUGAAAAAACUUAAUAGUUACAACUUUCAACAACGGAUCUCUUGGUUCUGGCAUCGAUGAAGAACGCAGCGAAAUGCGAUAAGUAGUGUGAAUUGCAGAAUUCAGUGAAUCAUCGAAUCUUUGAACGCACAUUGCGCCCCUUGGUAUUCCAUGGGGCAUGCCUGUUCGAGCGUCAUUUGUACCUUCAAGCCUUGCUUGGUGUUGGGUGUUUGUCUCGCCUCUGCGCGUAGACUCGCCUCAAAACAAUUGGCAGCCGGCGUAUUGAUUUCGGAGCGCAGUACAUCUCGCGCUUUGCACUCAGAACGACGACGUCCAAAAGUACAUUUUUACACUCUUGACCUCGGAUCAGGUAGGGAUACCCGCUGAACUUAA